This 253-nucleotide ribosomal RNA is filed under the name uncultured bacterium. RNAcentral describes it as "partial 16S ribosomal RNA". It matches the Rfam family "Bacterial small subunit ribosomal RNA", at positions 524 to 776 of the family's 1533-position model. The record is from RNAcentral.
UACGGGGGGGGCAAGCGUUGUUCGGAAUUACUGGGCGUAAAGGGCUCGUAGGCGGCCAACUAAGUCGGACGUGAAAUCCCCAGGCUCAACCUGGGAACUGCGUCCGAUACUGGAUGGCUUGAAUUCGGGAGAGGGAUGCAGAAUUCCAGGUGUAGCGGUGAAAUGCGUAGAUAUCCGGAGGAACACCGGUGGCGAAGGCGGCUUCCUGGACCGACACUGACGCUGAGGCGCGAAAGCUAGGGGAGCAAACGGG